UGGAGUACAGAGCCAAAACAACAGCAAAUGUGUCACUGUCUGAAUACUUUUUUAAAAGACUGAACAUGUUUCAGGGUUGUUGUGCUAAGAAGAGAGCAGGGUUUUUGUGGAGGGAAUGUCUUAUGUUUGUGUUGUACCUGUGUGUUUACUUUACCCUAUAACCUUUGGAUAGCCCACCCUGACUGUCUCUUGUGUGAGCAUAUGACAAUCCUUUCACUGUGGCCACUGGUUCUGUAGACUUUGUAGCUGAGGUAUGCACAGUGGUGUAAAAAGUACCCAAUUGUCAUACUUUAGAAAAAGUAAAGAUACCAUAAUAGAAGAGGACUCAAGUAAAAACAGACGGACGGACGGACGGACAGACAGAGUACCACUGACAUCACCAGUAUCAGGUUGUGUGCAAGAUGGGCCAAUUCUCAGUUCUGGUUAUGCUGGCAGUUCUCUGUGCAUUCUUCGAGGAAAUUGAAGCAAAUCCAUUUGUUUACAACUAUGAGAGACU
Molecule: long non-coding RNA, 496 nt
Organism: Salvelinus namaycush (lake trout)
Lineage: Eukaryota; Metazoa; Chordata; Actinopteri; Salmoniformes; Salmonidae
Exons: 6
Source: RefSeq, a predicted model, not a curated record